RNAcentral lists this ribosomal RNA (442 nucleotides) under uncultured bacterium. RNAcentral describes it as "partial 16S ribosomal RNA". It matches the Rfam family "Bacterial small subunit ribosomal RNA", at positions 39 to 452 of the family's 1533-position model. The record is from RNAcentral.
GGCCGCGGGAAUUCGAUUCAGGCCUAACACAUGCAAGUCGAACGGAGUGCCGUUUUUGAUUUUUUCGGAAUGACGAAGCAGUUACUUAGUGGCGGACGGGUGAGUAACGCGUGAGGAACCUGCCUUCCAGAGGGGGACAACAGUUGGAAACGACUGCUAAUCCCGCAUAAUGCAGCGAGGUCGCAUGACUUUGCUGCCAAAGAUUUAUCGCUGGAAGAUGGCCUCGCGUCUGAUUAGAUAGUUGGUGAGGUACCGGCCCACCAAGUCGACGAUCAGUAGCCGGACUGAGAGGUUGAACGGCCACAUUGGGAUUGAGACACGGCCCAGACUCCUACGGGAGGCAGCAGUGGGGAAUAUUGCGCAAGGGGGGCAACCCUGACGCAGCAACGCCGCGGAAGAAGAGAGGUCUUCGGAUUGUAAACUUUUUCUUAUGGAAGAUAAU